Molecule: ribosomal RNA, 452 nt
Filed under: uncultured Acidobacteriota bacterium
Lineage: Bacteria; Pseudomonadati; Acidobacteriota
Description: bacterial SSU rRNA
Rfam family: Bacterial small subunit ribosomal RNA
Source: RNAcentral
CAGGCCUAACACAUGCAAGUCGAACGAGAAAGUGGAGCAAUCCAUGAGUAAAGUGGCGACCGGGUGAGUAACACGUGACUAACCUACCUUUCAGUGGGGAAUAACCUCGGGAAACCGGGGCUAAUACCGCAUAAUGUCUUCGGACCAAAGGAGCAAUUCGCUGGAAGAGGGGGUCGCGGCCGAUUAGCUAGUUGGCGGGGUAACGGCCCACCAAGGCAAUGAUCGGUAGCCGGCCUGAGAGGGCGCACGGCCACACUGGAACUGAAACACGGUCCAGACUCCUACGGGAGGCAGCAGUGGGGAAUUUUGCGCAAUGGGGGAAACCCUGACGCAGCAACGCCGCGUGGAGGAUGAAGCCCCUUGGGGUGUAAACUCCUUUCGAUCGGGACGAUGAUGACGGUACCGGAUGAAGAAGCACCGGCUAACUCUGUGCCAGCAGCCGCGGUAAUACA